Molecule: small nuclear RNA, 135 nt
Organism: Macrobrachium nipponense
Lineage: Eukaryota; Metazoa; Arthropoda; Malacostraca; Decapoda; Palaemonidae
Product: U4 spliceosomal RNA
Exons: 1
Source: RefSeq, a predicted model, not a curated record
AGCUUUGCGCAGUGGCAGUAUCGUAACCAAUGAGGGUUAACCGAGGUGCGAUUAUUGCUAGUUAAUUCACUUUACUGUCGACACGUUAGAGGAAUAAACCUAAGACAAAUGAAAUCUUUACAUAUUCUUAGGAAA